UACAGAGGUCCCAAGCGUUGUUCGGAUUUACUGGGCGUAAAGGGUGCGUAGGUGGCGGGGUAAGUCUGGUGUGAAAGCUCCGAGCUCAACUCGGAAAAGCAUUGGAAACUAUCCCGCUUGAGGGUCGGAGGGGAGACUGGAAUUCCAUGUGUAGCGGUGAAAUGCGUAGAGAUAUGGAGGAACACCAGUGGCGAAGGCGACUUUCUGGUCUGUAACUGACACUGAGGCGCGAAAGCGUGGGGAGCAAACAGG
This 252-nucleotide ribosomal RNA is filed under the name uncultured bacterium. RNAcentral describes it as "partial 16S ribosomal RNA". It matches the Rfam family "Bacterial small subunit ribosomal RNA", at positions 524 to 776 of the family's 1533-position model. The record is from RNAcentral.